RNAcentral lists this ribosomal RNA (478 nucleotides) under uncultured anaerobic ammonium-oxidizing bacterium. RNAcentral's name for it is "bacterial SSU rRNA". It matches the Rfam family "Bacterial small subunit ribosomal RNA", at positions 364 to 832 of the family's 1533-position model. The record is from RNAcentral.
UUUCGCAAUGCCCGAAAGGGUGACGAAGCGACGCCGCGUGUGGGAAGAAGGCCUUCGGGUUGUAAACCACUGUCGGGAGUUAAGAAAUACAAGGAUAUUAAUAGUGUCUUUGUUUGACUAAGGCUCCGGAGGAAGCCACGGCUAACUCUGUGCCAGCAGCCGCGGUAAUACAGAGGCGGCAAGCGUUGUUCGGAAUUAUUGGGCGUAAAGAGCACGUAGGCGGCUAUGUAAGUCGGUUGUGAAAGCCUUCCGCUCAACGGAAGAACAGCAUCCGAUACUACAUGGCUUGAGUGCGGGAGGGGAGAGUGGAACUUCUGGUGGAGCGGUGAAAUGCGUAGAUAUCAGAAGGAACGCCGGCGGCGAAAGCGGCUCUCUAGCCCGUAACUGACGCUGAGUGUGCGAAAGCUAGGGGAGCAAACGGGAUUAGAUACCCCGGUAGUCCUAGCCGUAAACGAUGGGCACUAAGUAGAGGGGUUUU